RNAcentral lists this unclassified non-coding RNA (233 nucleotides) under plant metagenome. RNAcentral describes it as "partial contains small subunit ribosomal RNA, internal transcribed spacer 1, and 5.8S ribosomal RNA". The record is from RNAcentral.
UUUCUGUAGGUGAACCUGCGGAAGGAUCAUUAUUGGAUUUUGAAACUUCAGGCUGCUGCUGGCUCUCCUCGGAGGGCAUGUGCACGCUUGUUGUCCAUUAUUUCUCCCACUGUGCACAAAUUGUAGACCUUUCAGUAGGCCUAUGUUGUUUUUCACAAUCUCUGAAUGUAAUAGAAUGGUUUUGAAUCUUGGGAAAUACAAUACAACUUUCAGCAACGGAUCUCUUGGCUCUC